UUAUAAAAUCUAACUGUCAAUAAUAAGGUUGGUUUGGUCAGCAAUACUACUACUAGCCUACUAGGCUACCACUACUUAGAGUGAAGUUUAAUAUUUCAACCAUUUAUCCACUAACAUUUCUUUUAGCUAACUAUUUCAAACAUGUAGCCAGUACAUUACUUAUAACUAAUCAUUUGAACUAUUUAGCCAUUACUUUUAGCUAUCUGUUUAAACUUCUGUGCUUGCUUGCUAGCUAGUUUUAUCUAACCUAAUUCCAACAUGUUCAAAUUACAGCAUUAGAGCUCUACAAUCUUUCCACGUACCCCCUGGCAACAGCAGAAGUACCCCCUGGGGUACACGUACCCCUGGUUGGGAAUCACUGCAUUAAUGCAACAAUGA
Sander lucioperca (pikeperch) is the source of this 378-nucleotide long non-coding RNA. RefSeq lists it as uncharacterized. The record is from RefSeq and is a predicted model, not a curated record. Lineage: Eukaryota; Metazoa; Chordata; Actinopteri; Perciformes; Percidae. The transcript has 3 exons.